CCCAGGGCUUCGCCCUGGGCUAGAAUCCCACGCCCCUUCGGGGCU
Molecule: small RNA, 45 nt
Filed under: Planctomycetaceae bacterium SCGC AG-212-F19
Lineage: Bacteria; Pseudomonadati; Planctomycetota; Planctomycetia; Planctomycetales; Planctomycetaceae
Description: Acido-Lenti-1 RNA
Rfam family: Acido-Lenti-1 RNA
Source: Rfam by way of RNAcentral